This 506-nucleotide ribosomal RNA is filed under the name uncultured bacterium. Its description in RNAcentral is "partial 16S ribosomal RNA". The record is from RNAcentral.
GGAGUUAGCCGGUGCUUCUUCUGUGAGUGAUGUCCUUCCUGCCGGCUAUUAACCCGCAGGCCUUCUUCCUCACUGAAAGUGCUUUACAACCCGAAGGCCUUCUUCACACACGCGGCAUGGCUGGAUCAGGGUUGCCCCCAUUGUCCAAUAUUCCCCACUGCUGCCUCCCGUAGGAGUCUGGGCCGUGUCUCAGUCCCAGUGUGGCUGAUCAUCCUCUCAGACCAGCUACGGAUCGUCGCCUUGGUGAGCCGUUACCUCACCAACCAGCUAAUCCGACAUAGGCUCAUCCGAUAGCGCGAGGCCCGAAGGUCCCCCGCUUUCCCCCGUAGGGCGUAUGCGGUAUUAGCCUGGGUUUCCCCAGGUUAUCCCCCACUACCGGGCAGAUUCCUAUGCAUUACUCACCCGUCCGCCGCUCGCCACCAGGGAGCAAGCUCCCCGUGCUGCCGCUCGACUUGCAUGUGUAGCUCGCCGCCACGCGUCAUCUGAGCCAUAAUACAACUACUCGA